ACGUCAUCGCCGCAUUCAGAGACAUUACUUGUUGAGAAAAGAAACAUAGAUCGAGAUCAAGACUGCGCAUGCGCUGAAGAUAACGCCAUCUGGGGGCAGCGGUGCCGCAGCCAUGAUCGCACUGUCAGUGCUAACGUUUGUGAUAGCUACCUGUGGAGUUGAACAAAUCGUCUUUUUUUUGGCUUACGAUGUCGGGAAGAACCUGUUGUGUGUUCGGCUGUUACAACAGCAGUGGGGAGAUAGAGAUAUGGAACAAAAAUGUAUAAGUUCACCGUUAUUACCGUGUUGACACCAUAAGCACUAGCUAAUAGCACUGCAGCUUCCCAGCGAGCUGAAGAACAAGCUGUUCGUCAGAAGUGGAGUGGAUUGUGAACAUCAACUUUCAGAACAAACAUGUCACGGGGUCAUUGUCAUCUGGAAGAGCACCUCCCAAAAGAAGAUGUCCUCAGCCUUUACAAGAGGACACAUCAUGUGCUUGGAAUUUGUGCACAAUGGAAUAAAGAACAGUUGUUGAUGUAUUAAUUACAGUUUAUUUGAA
This is a long non-coding RNA of Sardina pilchardus (European sardine), 538 nucleotides long. RefSeq lists it as uncharacterized. Lineage: Eukaryota; Metazoa; Chordata; Actinopteri; Clupeiformes; Clupeidae. The record is from RefSeq and is a predicted model, not a curated record. The transcript has 2 exons.